GACAAAACUGUUUUUAAUGUCCUCUUCUUCCUCCUGACUCUCUGCUCUGUCAUCUCACCGCUUCUCAUAAAGCCUGACCAGGCGCGUCCCCGCCUCCCUCAUUGACUACAAACCACCUGGGCCUGCGCGCUCCCGACAUUCGCAACCCGGGCGCACGUGAGUGCGCAUUCAUGUGGGCCGGCAAUCAUCUACAAUUAACGCACCUGUCGCUGAUGAGAAGCCCUGCCUUCAUAAGCCAGCACAACCUGCUAUCCUGGGCCAGAACGUAGCCACCUGUCCUGUACACAGCGUACCUCCGUUCCCGCGUCACAAGUGUGUGUCUCGUCUCCCCGUAUUUCCUCUGCUUCCCUGGUUGCCUGGACACGGACUUUGACGCCUCUCUCCUCCCCUCGACCUCACGUCUGCUCACGGACCUCCGAGCCAGCCUUGCCCCUCUUAGACUUCCUUCCGCCUCUCGCUCAACACUACCGAUAACACUCAUCAGAUAAUUGCUACACAUGGUCACACACA
Long non-coding RNA from Nerophis lumbriciformis (worm pipefish), 510 nucleotides. RefSeq lists it as uncharacterized. NCBI's taxonomy places the organism in Eukaryota, Metazoa, Chordata, Actinopteri, Syngnathiformes, Syngnathidae. The record is from RefSeq and is a predicted model, not a curated record.